Molecule: ribosomal RNA, 253 nt
Filed under: uncultured bacterium
Lineage: Bacteria
Description: partial 16S ribosomal RNA
Rfam family: Bacterial small subunit ribosomal RNA
Source: RNAcentral
GACGUAGGGCGCGAGCGUUGUCCGGAUUUAUUGGGCGUAAAGAGCUCGUAGGCGGCUUGUCGCGUCGUCCGUGAAAACCUGUGGCUCAACUGCAGGCUUGCGGUCGAUACGGGCAGGCUAGAGUUCGGUAGGGGAGACUGGAAUUCCUGGUGUAGCGGUGAAAUGCGCAGAUAUCAGGAGGAACACCGGUGGCGAAGGCGGGUCUCUGGGCCGAAACUGACGCUGAGGAGCGAAAGCGUGGGGAGCGAACAGG